GAUGAAGAACGUAGCGAAAAGCGAUACUUGGUGUGAAUUGCAGAAUCCCGUGAACCAUCGAGUCUUUGAACGCAAGUUGCGCCCGAAGCCAUCAGGUUGAGGGCACGUCUGCCUGGGCGUCACAUAUCGUUGCCCAAUGCCUAUUGCAGUGCAAUAGGAAUUUCUAGGGCGAAUGAUGGCUUCCCGUGAGCGUUGUUGCCUCGCGGUUGGUUGAAAAUCGAGUCCUUGGUAGGGUGUGCCAUGGUAGAUGGUGGUCGAGUUAGAACGAUACCGAUCAUGUGCAUGCUCCCCAAAAUAUGGCCUCUAUGACCCACACGCGUCUUUUGACGCUCAUGACGAGACCUCAGGUCAGGCGGGGCUACCCGCUGAAUUUAAGCAUAUCAAUAAGCGGAGGA
This 395-nucleotide unclassified non-coding RNA is filed under the name soil metagenome. RNAcentral describes it as "partial contains 5.8S ribosomal RNA, internal transcribed spacer 2, and large subunit ribosomal RNA". The stretch from base 1 to 122 matches the Rfam family "5.8S ribosomal RNA", at positions 35 to 154 of the family's 154-position model. The record is from RNAcentral.